Molecule: unclassified non-coding RNA, 387 nt
Filed under: fungal sp.
Lineage: Eukaryota; Fungi
Description: partial internal transcribed spacer region
Rfam family: Eukaryotic small subunit ribosomal RNA (bases 1-46)
Source: RNAcentral
AAGUCGUAACAAGGUUUCCGUAGGUGAACCUGCGGAAGGAUCAUUAACACGUAUCCACGUAUCAACCAAUGAGAACCUGUUUUCCCGUCUCCCUUUGCAAAGAAUGAAUUGGAACCAGUUUGAGGGAGUGAUGGGACUGAAAAGUCGGCCUUCCUGGUACACUUAUGUCGAUAGAAAUAUUUGCAUAGACAAUUGAAUUUUUGCAGAGGCUAUUUCUUAUCGCUCUGAUCUCCAUCAUGAUCGUGGCGGUAGGGAAAACCUUUCACAACAUUUACCAUUUUUGCUAGUUGACUUUUUAUAUGUGUUGUUUUGCGCAAGCAAGAGAGCACACGUUUAUUAAUUGAACGUUAAAAAAUACAACUCUUAGCAAUGGAUAUCUUGGUUCUC